This is a non-coding RNA of Thermoplasmatales archaeon I-plasma, 309 nucleotides long. It matches the Rfam family "Archaeal signal recognition particle RNA". NCBI's taxonomy places the organism in Archaea, Methanobacteriati, Thermoplasmatota, Thermoplasmata, Thermoplasmatales. The record is from Rfam.
AUGCCGGGCUGGCCGGGAGGGUAGGCGUCUCCUGUUACUCGAAACCGUCUAUACGCGGGGGCGACAGCCGAUAUAGAAGGCAACCUUGAAGGUGCGAGCCUUUGACGUUCGGCGAAACUCUGUCCCAUCAGAUCCAGGUUGUAUGCAUCUUUCCCGGAGGGGAGAGGGGCAUGCGUUAUCACGGGAAUCCGCCAGGACCGGAAGGGAGCAACGGUUACGUGGACCGCGGAUGCCGAUGGGGGCACGGAGCGGAGAAUAGAGAAGGUCACCGCAUCUAUCUAUCGCCCUUUGAUGUCGGUGGCCCGGCUU